CUGUAUGAAUGUUAUUUCAUGAACCAAAAUACUUCAGCACCAGUGGUGAUAUACCACAAUAGUUCGGACACAAUCAGAAAUAAUUUCUUUUCUGGAAAACUUAUGACUAAAACUUCACUACAUUUGAAAUACAUAUAUCGUACUUUUCACUACACUACAUUUGUAACAGACUUUCUGUGAGUUUAAAUGGGUUUAAGAAAUGCAUUAUCUGUCUUACUAAAGAGGGACUUUUAUUUUGACGGGUGUUGUAGACUACAGGGAAGGAAAGGGAGAGCACGCAGUUCAAGUUCAUCAGAGUUGUGUCGCAGAUAACGUUUGCAACUUUAAGCACCCCCCGAAAAUGCAUAAGGUCUGUAUAUAUUUGAUAACUGUUUGUUGUAAUGACUGUUUUGUGUAAUUCACUGUAUGUUAAUGAUAGAGGUUUGAACUAGUCUGUAAUUCGCGCUUCUUGUACUUUGUUGGUUUAGCUCUUACGGUGAUUCUUGGAGUCUUACGGUGAUUUUUGAGUGAAAACGGACUCAAUAAACUUCAUUAACAUCAGUAAAGCUUGGGCCAUCAUUCGGGCGGGGUCUGCUACAGUAAGAGCUUUACCUUCGCUGGUUAAGAUCCUCGAUGCACGUGCAUGCUCACGAUGGCAAUAUGACGGAUUGCUGCACGUCGGAAUCAGCGUGAUGGUCUACGGAGCAGAGUCGCUGUAGUCAACGAGUUCACUAUGGAAAUGGAUACGGACGAACCGGAUUCUGAAAGCCUGCUUCAGACGGAUAUUGAAGGUGAAAAGGAUAAAAAUGAAGCAGUUAAAAAUAAGGAUAAAGAUAAACCUGAAUCUCAGUGUCAAAAGCAAGACAGUAAAGAACUCACUCGACGUUCAGAACGUCCGCAUAUGCCCACGGAGAAAAUGCUUGCUUAUCAGAAAGAUGAAUGCUGUAAGAAAGAAAAAAGAUUAAACACUUUGUAUGAGCAAUGGAAGAUAGAAGCUCGUAAAGCAAGACAGAGCUUAAAAACGGACAUAACUGAUAAACAGCUGGCUGAAAUGGCUGACUCUAUUGAGGACAAAAAUAAUAAUAUUUUGAAACUCUUCAGUGACAUAAGGGAACAUGUUACACCUACUGCAGAUUUAAGACGUAAAAUUGAUGCAUGUGAAGCUGUGACCAAUGACAUAAUCAAAAUAGUGCUUGAAAGAAUGGCAUUUGUAGAUGGCGAAUUUGAUGCAGAAAGAGAAAGGGGCAGGCUGCGUGAACUUUUAGCACAUAGUUAUGCUCGCUCUAUAUAUGGUUCCAGUGCUUCAAAAACAAGUGUCAGUAGCCAUUCCAGAUCCUCUAGUGCAACAAGCAAACGUGCAGAUGCUGCAGCAGAACUGGCUGCAAAAGAGGCUGAAUAUAAGAUGAUGCAAACAGAAAGGCAACAAAAGGAAAAAAUAAGAACUUUAGAAGAGCAACUCAGAAGAGAGUUAGAAACUCAAAAGUUUGAACUGGAACGGCUGCAGGUGGAAAAGGAUAUAGAGGUUGCUCGAGCCAGAAUAAAAUCCUAUGAUGAAGAAAUAAAACAAGAGACAAGAAGUCAGUCAAUACCGAAUGAUCAUCAAGGGCAGAGAAAUGAAAUGUUACAUCAUUGCAGUGUUGUUCAGUCAACACCUCUCAGUGAAGUGUCCCAUCUUGCUCAGGCAGUUCAGGACAGCAUAGCCAUCAACAGGUUACCCAUACCCGAGCCUUCAGUGUUCAAUGGAGACCCAAUUCAGUUUGUGGACUGGAAAGCCUCAUUUAUGUCACUUAUAGAUAGAAAAGGCAUCUCUGCAGCUGAUAAACUCUAUUAUUUGAAAAAGUAUGUCAGUGGCUCAGCACACAAAUAUCUUGAAGGCACCUUUUAUCGUAAUGAUGAAGAAGCGUACAAAGAUGCUUGGAACAAGCUUAACCAAAGAUACGGGCAGCCAUUUGUCAUUCAAAGAGCAUUCCGUGAAAAGCUGUCAAAGUGGCCAAGAAUAUCAUCCAAAGAUGCAGAAGGCCUGAGAACAUUUUCAGACUUCUUAAAUGCCUGCCUGCAAGCCAUACCUCAUGUUAAAGGCCUGGAAAUAUUAAACGACUGUGAAGAGAAUCAAAAGCUGGUACAGAAACUUCCUGACUGGGCAGCCUCCAGGUGGAACCGCCAAGUCACAACAUCACUUAUGGAUGGCAAGGAAUUUCCAAGCUUUCAAGACUUUGUAAAAUUCAUGUCAACUGAAGCAGAAAUAGUGUGUAAUCCUAUCACUUCUCUACAUGCUCUUCAUUCACGCGAGUCACCUCAUGAGAGAAGAAUCUCAAAUGAAACCAAAAGAAACAAGGCGAUUGUCUUCAAAACACAAACAACAGAAAACAGUGACAAACAGACAAUGGCUAAAGGACAGUUAAAAACAUCAUGCAUGUUGUGUCAAGAUGACAGCCAUCCACUCUGUAAGUGCCCAGAAUUCAUGGUAAAGUCUCUGAAAGACAGAAGGUCCUAUGUCAAAGACAACAAACUCUGUUUUGGGUGUAUGAAACCAGGUCACUGUGCUAAGGAUUGUCGGCAUCGCCACACAUGUGAUGUAUGCAAACUGCGACAUCCCACAUGUCUUCAUGACUACAACUAUGAGAAUAACGGAAACAGAAAGCAACCAACGGUAAGCAUGGAGCAUGCACGUGAGAGUGAGAUUACAGAUGCCAUAUCGCUUAAUAUCACAAGACAAGGUCGUUCAGUCAUUACAUCCAUGAUUGUACCUGUGUGGGUGUCGUCCAUCAAAAAUCCAUCCAAUGAACAGCUUGUCUAUGCUUUGUUAGACACUCAGAGUGACACCACUUUCAUUGAUGAAGAAGUGAGUAAUACACUGCAAGUGGAUUCUCAGCCAAUAAAACUCAAACUUACCACCAUGAUAGGAGAUAGUAUGAUAAUUAAAAGUAAAAGAGUGUCUGAUCUUCGUGUGAGAGGGUACAAUUCAUCAGUACAUAUCAAUCUGCCUCCAGUAUACACCAAGGAGUGUAUUCCUGUCAAUCGUGAUCACAUACCAACGCAGGAAACGGCAAAGAACUGGAGUCACUUGAAGGUAAUCACAGACGAAAUGUCACCUCUUCUCAGCUGUGAAGUAGGUUUACUUAUUGGCUACAACUGCCACAGAGUGCUAGCUCCCAGGCAAGUUAUACUAGGAAAAGAUGAUGAACCUUAUGCUAUUCUAACUGACUUAGGAUGGAGUGUUGUGGGCUGCUCCACACCAGGUAUCAACGGAUCAACAUCAGUCAGUCUGUGUCACAGAAUAGCCACAAAGGAGAUUCCAGCUUUGACACCUAUGGAUGCCAUCCGUGUACUCGAGUCGGACUUUAAGGAUGUCACAGCAGAUGAAAAGACAAUUUCUCAGGAUGAUAUUGUGUUCCUAGACAAACUCAAAGAAGGUAUAAAGAAAAAUGCUCAAGGACAUUAUGAAAUGCCUCUUCCGUUCAAACAACGGCCAUACUUACCUGAUAACAGAGAGCUUGCCAAGGUCAGACUCAAUCAUUUGAACAAGAAAUUCUGUAGAAACGAGAAAUAUAAGACAGACUACAUUGCUUACAUGAAUGACAUCAUUGAAAGAGGUGAUGUAGAAACAGUGAAUGAUGAUGGAACUGUUGGCGAAAAGUGGUACAUACCUCAUCAUGGCAUCUACCAUCCAAAAAAGCCAGACAAGCUACGUGUCGUUUUUGAUUGUUCCGCAAAAUUCAAAGGCACAAGUCUCAACGAACAUUUGUUACCAGGACCAGACAUGAUAAACAAUCUCACCGGAGUCCUUGUUAGGUUCAGAAGGCAUCCUAUAGCUGUAAUAUGUGACAUCGAAAAAAUGUUUCACCAGUUUCAUGUCCAGGAAAAUGACCGAGAUUACCUGCGCUUCUUAUGGUGGAAAAACGGAGACACAAAUUCAGCGCUUCAAGAUUAUCGGAUGAAAGUGCAUCUUUUCGGCGCGGUUUCUUCGCCUGGCUGCGCAAACUAUGGACUAAGAUAUCUAGCCAGUGAGCAUAGUCAAUCAUACCCAUUAGCCGCUCAGUUCAUCUUAAGAGACUUCUAUGUUGAUGAUGGAGUCACAAGUGUAGAGACGGUGGAAAAGGCCAUUCAGCUGGCAAAGGAAGCACGGGAGUUGUGCAUAAAGGGAAGUCUUCGACUUCACAAGUUUGUGUCAAAUGACAACACUGUUCUGCAGAGCAUACCAGCAUCAGAACGUGCUGUAAACUUUGAAACAAAGGAUCUUACCUUCAAUGACAUGCCACUUGAAAGAGCGCUGGGAAUUCAUUGGAACAUACAGAGUGAUAGCUUCCAAUUCCAUAUCCCACUAAAAGGUCAACCUACAACACGUCGUGGCAUAUUGUCAACGGUUGCCUCCAUAUAUGAUCCUUUGGGCUUUGUAGCUCCCUAUGUUCUCAAUGGUAAGAGGAUCCUACAAGAAAUGUGUCGCCAGGGUACAGGCUGGGAUGAUCCACUUUCCCUUGCUCUUAGCCCAUGGUGGGAGAAAUGGCAGAAUGACUUUGUCAAUCUGGAAAAGGUGGACAUAUCACGAUGCUAUGUGCCUGCUGAUUUCGGUAAAAUUGUAAAAACGGAAAUACAUCAUUUCUCUGAUGCAAGUACCUGUGGUUAUGGUCAGUGUUCUUAUCUGAGAGUAAUCAAUGAGAAGGAUGAGAUUCAUUGCACUUUCCUCAUUGGCAAAGCCCGGGUUACUCCUGUAAAGAUUACUACAAUUCCAAGGUUAGAGUUGACGGCAGCAGUGGUAUCAGUCCAAAUGAGCAAUAUGCUCAGAGAAGAGCUUGACCUCACCAAUGUCAAUGAAUUCUUUUGGACUGACUCAAAGGUGGUCUUGGGUUACAUCAAUAACGACGCCCGUCGUUUUCAUACGUUUGUAUCCAACAGAGUCCAAAAAAUACGCCAAAGCACAGCACCCAAACAAUGGCUAUACGUCCCAACAGAUGAUAACCCAGCAGACAAUGCUUCAAGAGGAAGAACAAUAAAUGAAUUGCUCUCGUCCAACUGGUUCUCAGGUCCUUCAUUCCUGUGGAAGAAAGAAAUAGAGACCUCAAAUGUUGUACCGGAGCUUCCAAUAGGAGAUCCAGAAGUUAAAAAGAUCCAGACGUUUCAAACAGAAACCACAGAAAGUAAAGAUCUUGUAGACCAUUUGUCAAAGUUCUCAUCUUGGUCUAAUGCUGUCAAAGCUAUUGCACGCCUUGUGAGACGGAUUAAGAAGGAUAAAACUAAUGCGCCAGCUUCUGUAGGUGAACAGGAACAUGCAAAAGGCUUGAUUCUAAAAGGAGUUCAAAAACAAGCAUAUCAGAAAGAAAUAGAUGUCCUGAGUCAAGGAAAACAACUUCCAGGUUAUAAUAAACUUCAUCACCUGGACGCCUUCAUAGACCUUCAUGGUAUGAUCAAGGUGGGAGGAAGACUUAUCCACUCAUCAUGCACUCACUCGUUCAAGCACCCACUGAUCCUUCCUAAAGAUCAUCAUGUAACAAAGUUGAUUAUUGCACACUAUCAUGAAAGUGUAAAGCAUCAAGGAAAGGGUUUCACAAUUAAUGCAAUCAGAUCUUCCGGCUAUUGGAUACCUGGAAUAAACAGAGCUGUCACAUCUUACAUUCGCAACUGUGUACCUUGUAGAAGGUUGAGAAAACCUGUGGAAGGCCAGCGGAUGAGUGAUCUUCCCACAGAACGUGUAGAGCCUUCCCCACCGUUUGUGUAUUGUGGUAUGGAUUGCUUUGGUCCAUUCAUGACUAAAGAAGGAAGAAAACAGCACAAAAGGUAUGGUCUGCUUCUAACUUGCUUUUGUUCAAGAGCCAUUCAUAUAGAAAUGUUAGAAGAUAUGUCCACAGAUGCUUUCAUCAACAGUUUGCGAUGCUUUAUUGCAAUUCGAGGCACAGUACGGCAGAUCAGAUGUGACCAAGGUACCAAUUUCGUUGGCGCAAAAAACGAACUGAACUCAGCAUUACAGCAGCUUGACCCAGAAAGGCUCACCGCUUUCCUUGCAGAUAAACAGUGUGAUUUUGUAAUGAAUCCCCCUCAUUCCAGUCAUGCAGGUGGUGUAUGGGAGCGUCAAAUCAAAACUGUACGGAGUGUUCUUAAUGCUACAGUUUCCCUCUCAUCAGGCAGGCUUAACGAUGCUUCACUGCGCACUUUAUUUUAUGAAGCCAUGGCGAUAGUCAACAGUCGCCCCCUUACAGUGGAUAACCUGAACGACCCCAAGAGCUUAGAACCACUCACACCUAACCAUCUGAUUACCAUGAAAGCCACCACGGUCCUACCACCACCAGGAAAGUUCAUAAGAGAAGACAUCUACGGGAGAAAGAGAUGGAGACAGGUGCAGUACCUUACUGAACAGUUUUGGAGUAGAUGGAAAAAAGAGUAUCUCCACAACAUUAUGGCUAGACAAUGCUGGCAUGCUCCAAAAAGGAAUUUGCAGAUUGGUGAUGUGGUCAUGGAUACAGAUGAGAACCUUCCAAGAAAUGAGUGGAGACUAGGACGGGUCAUAGACACUGUAACUAGCCAAGAUGGACUAGUAAGGAAAGUCACAAUAGCACUCGGUGACAAAAAACUAAACAAAAAAGGAGAACGGGUAAACAAGGUCUCAGUCGUAGAGAGACCAGCUCAGAAGUUGGUCUUAUUAUUGGAAGCGGAGUGAACAAAUCAAGUUAAAAUUACUUAUGUUUGAAAAUUAUGCAUGUCAAAAUAACAUUUAUAAUUUGGUGGGAGUGUAACAGACUUUCUGUGAGUUUAAAUGGGUUUAAGAAAUGCAUUAUCUGUCUUACUAAAGAGGGACUUUUAUUUUGACGGGUGUUGUAGACUACAGGGAAGGAAAGGGAGAGCACGCAGUUCAAGUUCAUCAGAGUUGUGUCGCAGAUAACGUUUGCAACUUUAAGCACCCCCCGAAAAUGCAUAAGGUCUGUAUAUAUUUGAUAACUGUUUGUUGUAAUGACUGUUUUGUGUAAUUCACUGUAUGUUAAUGAUAGAGGUUUGAACUAGUCUGUAAUUCGCGCUUCUUGUACUUUGUUGGUUUAGCUCUUACGGUGAUUCUUGGAGUCUUACGGUGAUUUUUGAGUGAAAACGGACUCAAUAAACUUCAUUAACAUCAGUAAAGCUUGGGCCAUCAUUCGGGCGGGGUCUGCUACAACAUUUCUAUCAAGGACGUCAAAUAGAAAGUUUUUACUUUGUAGCUUGGUGGGUGAAUUUUCUUCUUCUCUAAA
RNAcentral lists this long non-coding RNA (7190 nucleotides) under Carassius auratus (goldfish). RNAcentral describes it as "lncRNA (ENSCARG00000003666.1)". Lineage: Eukaryota; Metazoa; Chordata; Actinopteri; Cypriniformes; Cyprinidae. The record is from RNAcentral.